Camelus dromedarius (Arabian camel) is the source of this 5454-nucleotide long non-coding RNA. RefSeq lists it as uncharacterized. The record is from RefSeq and is a predicted model, not a curated record. The transcript is spliced from 3 exons. Lineage: Eukaryota; Metazoa; Chordata; Mammalia; Artiodactyla; Camelidae.
AAGUAAAAUUUACACAUUGCAUUAUAACCAUAAAAUGCAGAGAAAACCCUGAGCUCAUGAUGAUUUAAUUACUACACACCCACCAUAAUGGAAAGUUUUAAAGAACGCUGAUGCUUAAGAGGGGUGAGAGUGUGCUUAAGAGGAAAACAGGAAGGGAAGGCUGAGUGUAGCACUGACACUAGGUUGUUCCACACUUUACUAUCCAGAAUGUGUUAAGGCCUAUAGGAUAAAACACCCUACCUCAGUGUUCAGAUGGCACUUUUCUCAGGAAGGAGCAGGGUCCUGGAGAACCAGGCACUCAAGAAAAGGGCUACAUGCGUCCCUAAUGAGAGAAGGCAGGCUUUGAAGGGCUCCCCCAGGGUCAGAGACAGCCGGGCCGGCUUCAACAACAGUGAAGUGGACUCCCAUUCGACUUCCAGAGCGCAGACAAGUGUUAGGCAGCUUUCUAGCCACAGGUAGAAAUAGUACUUGUGAAACUUUGUCUUUGAGGAGAACUGUCAGAAAUGCUGAAACCUGAGCAAUAGAAGGAGAAAGGAGGCAUGAGGAGGAGAGAAGCAAUUUUAGGAACACACAGAAGGAAAAGACAGAACCACCUGCAUGUGCUCAGUCUGAACCUUUACAAGAGAAAGAAGUGAACAAUCCUUAUCAAAACUUUAUACCAAAAAGAUUAGACUGUCACUGUAGACACAGAUCAGGACUGUAGUGAACACAAACUUUUUUCCAAUAGGGACAGUGUUGGGUUAUACCCGCAGGAGGUCCCAACAGAAGGAAUCACUUUCCUAGUCCUUUCUGUAUCAGCAACUAUCUGGACACCUUGUUUCUGGCUUCACCUAAGUGGUGAGUUCCUAGUCCUCAGGCCAAGUCCAUGGUUGUCUUGGUCCCUCAACUCAUUUUCAUGCACAAGAAUUGGCUCAUUCUGUUCAAAGUCCAGACAAAAACCUGACAGGGCAGUUGACAUUAUAAUUCAAGAAAUUAAAGCAUUAACAUUUCUGCUGAGAAAAGUUACCUUUUGGAGAUGAUCUGUUCUAAGGAAUAAACUCAAGUUUUAGAAUGAAGUAAAAGGUUUUGAGCUUCCGCUUCCUUGCCAUUCUUAGAACUUUGAAUAGAAAAGGGGAACGGGAUCAAUGGCAACUGUACAGAGAGGUGUAGCUGAAGGUAAGCUUAAGAGAAAAGGUGAUGGUAUGAAUAAAGGACCUGUAACAAAGUCCUGAAUCCCACUGCAGACUUAGGUGCCGGCAGGGCUCAGGAAGCAGGAUGCAAUGUGGGCCCACAUGUCUUUUCAGCCAAAGCCUUAAGUUCGGUCCACAGGGAACAGUGUUUGGAGCAGUCUCUAGGCCAAGAGGCAGAGCCUGUUUCUAUGGUCACUGAUGGUGGUUUGAUACUCGGAUGAAGAUUUGCCUCCCUGACCCUCCGAAGGUACCCAAAGCCGGUGUAUGUUGUUUGUAGGUACACCGGUCCCUUUCCCAUUACCUGAGUUCAGACUGACCUAGGAUGACUGGAACACAAGGGUCAGGCCCUCAUGGUUUUCAGGCAAUGACAUUAUCUGCCGUACGUUCUACAUAAGGUCCACUAAGACAGUUUUCCUACACAGGGACUUGGGUUUCACUUACUGACGCUGCCUGAACCGCCCACCCUCCGCCCCAAACACUGUUGCUUUUUAAUAGCAGGGAGCUUGGAAGCAGAUUCUGACUGGUAUCUGUCUUGCUCCUUGUUUUACCUGAUUUUCUGUGAUUCACAGUCAGUGAUAAGAUCUUUGAUUCAAGCUGAAACACCAGUUAGAAGUAACUAAGCCAUAUGCACCAAGACUGAUUUCCAAAGCUCACCUCCCACCAGAUACCAAUCAUGUGGAAUAUUACCAGGGCCUCCUCAUGCCAGAAGCUACCCGGACACCCUAGACUAUUGCACAACCUGCCUAGAUUCCUAGGAGACACAACACCCCUAGGAGAAGUUAGUGCUUUCCCUAGGUGGGGGCCUGAGCGUAGUCAGACUGGACCUGGGCAUCCCUGUGUUUUGAGAUCUACUGAUUGAUUGGCUUCUCUACAAAUUCCCGGGAUCCUGUUGGCUCCAAUUAGAAUGAUAGAGCUUAAGUGAAUUAGGAUCCCAAAUCCAGGUUGGGAUGCUUAAAUGUGCUUUUAAUAUUGCCAUCAGUCCCAGGUCACUAAGGUUUGUGAGGACUGGGGAAGAGAAGUUGCUAUAAAGGAUCACAUGAGUGACAACAUCUCAGUGGUCUGGAAUCAUGUAUUUAGACAAUUUCACUACUGUCUGGACCGAGAUUAACUUUGAAUAAGGUCAGAACAAUUUGCAGGAGGUUUCCUAUUAACUGGAGAACAAGUGUUCAAAAAAAUAUUCUUUAGGACAACGGGAUGAGGGGGGAAGAGAACAACUCUACACUAAGCUUGCAGGCAAGUUCAGGAAAAGUCAAUGGCCCCUUGAGAUAAAGGACAAGAACAGGACUGGGGAACAGAACUGAAGUCCCAUAGGUAAAGCCUACACAUGACCCAAACAUCUCACUGCAUCCUAGAGAGCCCCAAUAAGAAGGUUAAAGUUCAGUGGCCUUUGAAAGAAGGGAUGCAGUUUCUUGUGGAAGAACCUCAGGGUAGAAAUGAUUUUUACCUAUUCAAACGCAAAGCCUAGGAAUUUUGAAUGGAGCCACUGUAGGAAGACGGAUGCUGGAAGCUUUUGUCUGACACAGCCACAAUGGUACACUGGUGCAGAGGCUUGAGGACAGAUACAAGGUUAGUAUGUGUGGGGACGUUUUCUUCAGGGAUGCUUGAGAAUGAAAGUAAUAGAAGAAAAUUUCCCUGAACUAGAGAAUGAUUUGGAAGGGAAAUCCAGGAAGGAUUGGUAAAAUACCUCCAUGUAUCCUGAAAUAUUUGCUAAGUUUAACAGGGAAAACUUUAAACGAAAAUUUAGAGAAAAAAGCGGAUAUUUACAGUGAAAUACUGACUUUUCAGCAUCUGAUAUGCAAGAAUAGGAGGAAGACAACAGAAUCUCUUCCAAAUAGAGAUGCCAGUAGCUCUGAGUUAUCUGAUCUUCUAAGAUGGGGGCUCGGAACAAGAGAAGCCCUGAAGCUCGUCUGUGUUGUGUGACACCUCUCCCUGCUCCUUAUGCCCUGUAGAUCCACUGGAAUUGAAGGUAUGUUGGAGAGAGGAUGCUAAUGGAGCCUCUGGCAAGCCCCCAGACACGUGUCCUCUUCCUGUAUAACAGGUAUAGUCCACUUGAAAAGCCCCUGCGGGAUUGCUGCUGGAUCCUUUCAGGGCCCGAUGCACCACGCAGCUAUGCGACACAAGCGGCCCAUCGUGAACUCGGUGCCUGAUGAUCCCAGCAGCAAUCAAGUUUGGACGCGUGUAACAGAAAUCCCUCAGGUAGAACACUCCAAUCAGUCUUGGGCAAGUAAGGAAGGUGUUACAACCUGGGCUCUACCAGAAGCAGAUAUUUAAAGAGGUAUGCUUGCAGAAGGUUUAUUGGGGAGUAACGCCUGUGAUAUAAGAGGGAAAGAAGCUGGAUUGGGCAUGGAGAGCCCUCAGAACACCAUGCUAACCUAACAGUCUCUGCCAGCCCUACACAAAACUUCACGGCCUGUUAGCUCAGUCCAUCCUAGGGUGACAAUGAUAUCAUGGCAUACCAUCACCAUAUUGGAUCAUUGCUGGGAUCUGUCCUCAGAGGAACAUUCCCCUGGGCUUGUUGUUCACUCAUCUGCUAGAAGCCUCCCACAUGACCCCCCACCACCACUCAGGAACUGAGAGGUUCGUGUGGAAAAUACACUAGCUCCUUUUGCACCUCAGGUACGAGAAUUCCUAGGUAUAUUUUACCUUUCUGCAGUUUUCUUAGGUUAGUUUCCAGUGGUGGCUGGCAUAACACACCAUUACUGGAUGCCUUUCUCUCCACAUUUCACUUCCCUGUUUGACCAGCUUUCCCACAUCCCCCAAGUAAACUACUUGCAAUUAAAUUCACAUCAGAGACGCACUUUGAGAAACCAUAUGACACUUAUUCCCUAUGACAAGAGUAGGGCAAACCUUCCUGUUCACUUUAGAAAAAUGAGAACAAAGACUUCUCUCCACCCUUCAACACAAUCCUCCUUUACCAGUCCAGUGUUCUUCCAGGUACUCAUGAAAACUCAAUGAUUUCUGUCCAUCACUACCUGAUACACCACUAAUGCCUGGCCUAAGGGGUACUUAGGGAGCUUCUAACAGAAGAUUCAUUUACAGUGUUAAAUUCUCUUGGAGAGAAUCUAAGGGAGACAAGAACAAGAAGAUUCUCCCAAGAGAGGACACUUUCUUGCUCAGUGGAAAGUACAGGAUAGCAGAAUGUUAAAUGACUGUAUAUUAGUAAAAUCCACAUUGGAGGAUAAAACUCUUAAUGUGAUUGGACCUUAAAAUUUCAGUAGAAGUGAGGGGGAAAUAGUGGUGAGAAUUAUCAAGGAGCUCAGAAAAAUAUCAAAGUGACUUAGGAGUAAAGCAAGAGACAUCUAGUAAACCAAAAAGUCUAUCAGAAGGAAAUUAAAAUCUAGUAAAAAUUAGACACAUCCAAAAUAUUGAGCACAUUUACUUAAGGCUCAGAGCUAGACUGGCAAGUGAGCAUUGUACUUAGCAUUUAAGGACAACUAUGUUGAAAUAAAUGUUAGAGCAAGGAUCUGCUCUGGGAGUUCCUAGUGAGGUCCUGUUGAGCCAAGUUUUAGUUCACACAAAAGCUACACAGGGAAGAAUCCUGAGACAUCUAGAGUCCAUGCAAAGUUUGGAAGUUCAAUCAGAUCAAACCUGAAACCACCACCAAACAUUUAGUGAGAAGAAAGCCAGCUUUUGUUAAGUAGGAAAGGGAACCUGCCUCCCUUAGCAUGGGUGGUAGUGAGAAAAACUCAGAUUUGGGGCUAAAAUUAACUGUCAAAAGCAGCCACAAGUAGAAAAUUGAGCUGACCUGGGGGGGGAUUCAGGGAAAGAUGGCACAGGUAGCUUGGUAUGUCAUCACUACCAUCUCUAAGCCAGGUACCACUUCUUGGAAAAGAGACUUCCACUGGCAGUAACCACGUAGUUUCAGAGGGUGGCCAUUUUUUGGAAUACCCUGAGAACUACCUCAUUGCAUGAGAAGAUGCAGGAAAGAUGACGAUCUUUGGAGCAUGGUGGGACAGGUGCCAGCCCAUGAUGAAAGCCAUGGCUUCCAAUACGGCAGGAGCUCAUGAUCCCUAACAGAAGCAAAUGCAGAUAUGACUUGGACCAUUCUGAAACAGACUUAAUAUUUUGAAGUGGAAAUAUUUUGAAGAUAAAGCUUUGAAAAUGCCAAGAGCAACACCAUGACUAACGGAUAGCAGGAAAAACACAGUACACAGAAUCAGAAGUCACUCCUAGGAGUGGAAGACCCUCCUCCCUGAACUGAAGUGGACGCAUGCAGCAUAGAAGGUGGACUGCAGUGGCUGGAGAGGAGCACACCACUCAGAUCGCUUUCAAGGGACCCUCAUGG